AGCAGAGCCACAGCACUUAGACUUGAGGGCAGUCGUGCAGGGUUAGAGCUGGGAGGACAGUCAACCGCCCUGUUCUUGAUGACACCCUCACACAGGAAAUAUCUUAUUGUAUUGUACUAACUCUUCUUACGAUGCGAGACAGAAGCCCACAUGAUCGGAGGAAGUGAGGUGGAUGAUGUAGGCAUUGUGAUGUGGCCUUAGGCUACCAGGAAAAGGUUACUGAACACAAGCACGGAGGUCCUACGACAGCUGAUCUUAUACCUCAAACAGCUAAGUGACUAACAGGAAGGUAA
Molecule: long non-coding RNA, 293 nt
Filed under: Fukomys damarensis (Damara mole-rat)
Lineage: Eukaryota; Metazoa; Chordata; Mammalia; Rodentia; Bathyergidae
Description: lncRNA (ENSFDAG00000032907.1)
Source: RNAcentral